GACGAACGCUGGCGGCGUGCCUAAUACAUGCAAGUAGAACGCACAGUUUAUACCGUAGCUUGCUACACCAUAGACUGUGAGUUGCGAACGGGUGAGUAACGCGUAGGUAACCUGCCUGGUAGCGGGGGAUAACUAUUGGAAACGAUAGCUAAUACCGCAUAAUAUUGAUUAUUGCAUGAUAAUUGAUUGAAAGAUGCUAUUGCAUCACUACCAGAUGGACCUGCGUUGUAUUAGCUGGUAGGUGAGGUAACGGCUCACCUAGGCGACGAUACAUAGCCGACCUGAGAGGGUGAUCGGCCACACUGGGACUGAGACACGGCCCAGACUCCUACGGGAGGCAGCAGUAGGGAAUCUUCGGCAAUGGACGAAAGUCUGACCGAGCAACGCCGCGUGAGUGAAGAAGGUUUUCGGAUCGUAAAGCUCUGUUGUAAGAGAGGAACGGGUGUGAGAGUGGAAAGUUCACACUGUGACGGUAUCUUACCAGAAAGGGACGGCUAACUACGUG
This 505-nucleotide ribosomal RNA is filed under the name uncultured bacterium. RNAcentral's name for it is "partial 16S ribosomal RNA". It matches the Rfam family "Bacterial small subunit ribosomal RNA", at positions 28 to 507 of the family's 1533-position model. The record is from RNAcentral.